RNAcentral lists this ribosomal RNA (531 nucleotides) under Triticum aestivum (bread wheat). RNAcentral's name for it is "partial small subunit ribosomal RNA". The record is from RNAcentral. Lineage: Eukaryota; Viridiplantae; Streptophyta; Magnoliopsida; Poales; Poaceae.
AUGCAAGUGGAAGAAGGAUUGGCCGGUGCUGCUGGCUGGCGUCAAGUUCGAUCCCACAGAUCAGGAGCUGAUCGAGCAACUUUAGGCCAAAGUAUCACACUGAGUGGCCUAAGCAAGCAUUUCUUCCAGCGCAAUUCCAGGGCAUUCAAAAGGGGCACGUGGACGCGUCGCGAGAUACAGUCGGAGUGCGGCAUGCACGCGAUGUGGCACAACACCGGCAAUACCUUGUCGGUGAUUGUCAACGGCCGACAGAUGGGCAACAAAAAGGUUCUGGUGCUGCACACCAACAAGAACUUCGACCAGCAGAGGACCAACUGGGUGAUGCACCAGUACCACCUCGGGGACCUGGAGCAAGAGAAGGAGCGGGAGCUGGUCCUCUGCAAGAUUUUCUACCAGACAAACACUAGGGCCAGGAGUAAAAAGAUUAUAAGUCGAGCAAAUUUCAACUGGGCUGUAGACUGCCCAGGCUUGGUUUUGUUUUUAACAGGCCCAGCCCAUGAUGACAACGGGGCACAAAGAUCCAGCAGUUGA